AUGCCAGGAAUCCCACGUAGGCUGGCCGAGCACAACCUCAAUAUUCUAAACGGAUUCAAGUCGGUCAAGAAGACUCUUCGGCGUUUCUCUGAACCUAAGAGACAAGCUAUGGGAGAGGAACUAGCCAAGUUAUUGGAGGCCGGAUUCAUUAGAGAAAUAAAACACCCGGACUGGCUAGCAAACCUGGUGAUGGUACCAAAGAAGGACAAAUCCUGGUGCCUAUGUGUCGAUUUCAAGGACCUCAACAAGGCUUGCCCAAAGGAUCCCUUUCCCCUCUCCUGCAUUGAUCAAAUUAUCGAUGCUACCGCAGGACCCGAGUCAUUGUGUUUCCUCGACGCAUACUUCGACUACCAUCAAGUCAAGAUGGCGCAGUCCGACCAAGCCGCAACGGCUUUUAUCACACCAUACGGCCCCUUCUGUUUCAACACAAUGCCUUUUGGGCUUAAAAACGCCGACUCAACAUAUCAGCGCAUGAUUCAGACAUGUCUGGAGAAACAGAUCGGCAAAACAGUAGAGACAUACGUAGAUGAUGUGGUCGUCAAAACCAAAAAUGUCGACUCUCUAAUAGACGACUUGAGGCUCACAUUCGACAACCUCUGA
RNAcentral lists this ribosomal RNA (600 nucleotides) under Triticum aestivum (bread wheat). Its description in RNAcentral is "partial small subunit ribosomal RNA". Lineage: Eukaryota; Viridiplantae; Streptophyta; Magnoliopsida; Poales; Poaceae. The record is from RNAcentral.